This 302-nucleotide long non-coding RNA is filed under the name Homo sapiens (human). Its description in RNAcentral is "HSALNT0070030". Lineage: Eukaryota; Metazoa; Chordata; Mammalia; Primates; Hominidae. The record is from RNAcentral.
UUCAUAUUUUCCUAACCUGUGUGGUCUUUGUGGGAGGAAUAACCCAGACUAGGAAUGCCAGCAUCUGCCAAGCAGCUGUUACUACACAUCUGUAAACAAACUGCCUACAAGAAGUCAGAUGAUGGGUCUCAGAUCAACUACAUCCAUGUGUAGAAGAUAGCUCCUCUGUGUUCUCAGUCUUUCUCCUCUUCUUCAUGUCGCUGACUCCCACUUACCUUGCAGGUCUCACUUUAUUGUUACUGUUUCGGAGAUUCUGUUCCUGUAUCCCCCAGUGUUAUUCUGUGGACCUGUAUUAUUCUGUU